AACCCAAACUAAUUAUUUUCGGCGUAAAACGUGCCAACUAUAAAUCUCAUAAUAGAAUUAAAAUCCAACUUAUAUGUGAAAAUUCAUUGUUAGGACCUAAGCCCAAUAACGAAAGUAAUUCUAAUCAUUUAUAUAAUGCACGAUAGCUAAGACCCAAACUGGGAUUAGAUACCCCACUAUGCUUAGCCCUAAACCUUAAUAAUUAAACCUACAAAAUUAUUUGCCAGAGAACUACUAGCUACAGCUUAAAACUCAAAGGACUUGGCGGUACUUUAUAUCCAUCUAGAGGAGCCUGUUCUAUAAUCGAUAAACCCCGUUAUACCUUACCCCUUCUCGCUAAUU
This 342-nucleotide ribosomal RNA is filed under the name Rattus norvegicus (Norway rat). RNAcentral describes it as "partial 12S ribosomal RNA". It matches the Rfam family "Bacterial small subunit ribosomal RNA", at positions 537 to 989 of the family's 1533-position model. Lineage: Eukaryota; Metazoa; Chordata; Mammalia; Rodentia; Muridae. The record is from RNAcentral.